Myotis lucifugus (little brown bat) is the source of this 55-nucleotide non-coding RNA. The record is from Rfam. Lineage: Eukaryota; Metazoa; Chordata; Mammalia; Chiroptera; Vespertilionidae.
GCUCAGUGGUUAGAGUGUUGGCCCACAGACCAAAGGGUCUGGGUUCAAUUCCCAG